Long non-coding RNA from Strongylocentrotus purpuratus (purple sea urchin), 260 nucleotides. RefSeq lists it as uncharacterized. The record is from RefSeq and is a predicted model, not a curated record. NCBI's taxonomy places the organism in Eukaryota, Metazoa, Echinodermata, Echinoidea, Camarodonta, Strongylocentrotidae. The transcript has 3 exons.
ACGACUACGAUUUCGGAACGCUCAUACACAACGACUUCCCAAAACACCACUACCUCUGAGUCGGUGACAACGGAAGCGAAAACCAAGUCCGCGGCAAGCCCUUCGACCACGAUGCCGGAACGAUCAGAGGCAACGACAUCGCAAGAAACCACAAUUUCCAAGUCAGCAGAAUUAUCGACUGUGGACGUGACGAGCAAGCCGAUGACGAGCCCUACGACCACGAUGUCAGACACAACGACAUCGCAAGAAACCACCGCCUC